This 497-nucleotide ribosomal RNA is filed under the name uncultured bacterium. RNAcentral describes it as "partial 16S ribosomal RNA". It matches the Rfam family "Bacterial small subunit ribosomal RNA", at positions 28 to 507 of the family's 1533-position model. The record is from RNAcentral.
GAUGAACGCUGGCGGCGUGCCUAAUACAUGCAAGUCGAGCGAACGGACGAGAAGCUUGCUUCUCUGAUGUUAGCGGCGGACGGGUGAGUAACACGUGGAUAACCUACCUAUAAGACUGGGAUAACUUCGGGAAACCGGAGCUACUACCGGCUAAUAUUUUGAACCGCAUGGUUCAAAAGUGCAUGACGGUUUUGCUGUCACUUAUAGAUGGAUCCGUGCUGCAUUAGCUAGUUGGUAAGGUAACGGCAUACCAAGGCUACGAUGCGUAGCCGACCUGAGAGGGUGAUCGGCCACACUGGAACUGAGACACGGUCCAGACUCCUACGGGAGGCAGCAGUAGGGAAUCUUGCGCAAUGGGCGAAAGCCUGACGGAGCAACGCCGCGUGAGUGAUGAGGGUCUUCGGAUCGUAAAACUCUGUUAUUAGGAAAGAACAGAUGUGUAAGUAACUGUGCACAUCUUGACGGUACCUAAACAGAAAGCCACGGCUAACUACGUG